This 254-nucleotide ribosomal RNA is filed under the name uncultured bacterium. Its description in RNAcentral is "partial 16S ribosomal RNA". It matches the Rfam family "Bacterial small subunit ribosomal RNA", at positions 524 to 776 of the family's 1533-position model. The record is from RNAcentral.
CACGUAGGAACCAAGCGUUGUCCGGAUUUAUUGGGCGUAAAGAGCUCGUAGGCGGUUCGGUAAGUCGGGUGUGAAAGCUCCGGGCUCAACCCGGAGAGGCCACCCGAUACUGCCGUGACUUGAGUCCGGUAGGGGAGCACGGAAUUCCUGGUGUAGCGGUGAAAUGCGCAGAUAUCAGGAGGAACACAGGUGGCGAAGGCGGUGCUCUGGGCCGGUACUGACCCUGAGGAGCGAAAGCGUGGGUAGCAAACAGG